This is a long non-coding RNA of Oncorhynchus keta (chum salmon), 561 nucleotides long. RefSeq lists it as uncharacterized. The transcript has 5 exons. Lineage: Eukaryota; Metazoa; Chordata; Actinopteri; Salmoniformes; Salmonidae. The record is from RefSeq and is a predicted model, not a curated record.
UUAGUACCCUGGUCUACUACACCUACCAAUAUUACUACAGGUUAGUACCCUGGUCUACUACACCUACCAAUAUUACUACAGGUUAGUACCCUGGUCUUCUACACCUACCAAUAUUACUACAGGUUAGUACCCUGGUCUACUACACCUACCAAUAUUACUACAGGUUAGUACCCUGGUCUACUACACCUACCAAUAUUACUACAGGUUAGUACCCUGGUCUUCUACACCUACCAAUACUACUACAGGUUAGUACCCUGGUCUACUACACCUACCAAUGUUUCUACAGGUUAGUACCCUGGUCUUCUACACCUACCAAUAUUACUACAGGUUAGUACCCUGGUCUACUACACCUACCAAUGUUUCUACAGGUUAGUACCCUGGUCUACUACACCUACCAAUAUUACUACAGGUUAGUACCCUGGUCUACUACACCUACCAAUGUUUCUACAGGUUAGUACCCUGGUCUACUACACCUACCAAUAUUACUACAGGUUAGUACCCUGGUCUACUACACCUACCAAUAUUACUACAGGUUAGUACCCUGGUCUACUACACCUACCA